Molecule: long non-coding RNA, 2722 nt
Filed under: Gopherus agassizii (Agassiz's desert tortoise)
Lineage: Eukaryota; Metazoa; Chordata; Testudines; Testudinidae
Description: lncRNA (ENSGAGG00000013982.1)
Source: RNAcentral
GUGCGACUGAGGUCCUGACGCUGCUCAAGUGCCUUCUACGUCCUCACAAGUCUGGCCUGCAGCUGCAGAAGGUGCAGGAGUUGAUGCUGGAGAGACACGGGCUGGAUCUGAAGCGGUUUGUGAGCUCUCAGGGCAAGGAGGAUGUGCUCGGAUACCUGCAGAGGCACCUGCCCACGCUGAAGUACAGGCAGCCGGAGAAGGGAGCCAAGUGUAUUGUCUGGUUGGGGACAGGGCAGAAGAAAGGCUUUGGAUCUUUGCCCCCUGGCAGUGCCCGCCCCUUGCCUGCCUCCAAGAGGUGCCUCCUCCCAACGAAUGCUGCAGAGCGCCCGCCCCCACCCGCCACCGACUGCCUCAACCCCCGGCUGCCCAGUGCUACCACCAACCAGCCUCUGCUUCCCAGCCUGCCCUCGGGCCGGGAGCCCUUCCGUGCCCCUGCUGUCCUGGGCAAGCUGAGAAAGUCCCCAGGGGCCAACCCCCGUCUCCCAGCCUGGCUACUGAGCCCACCCCGGCCCACCGGCGCCUGCUCAGGCCUGCGAACAGAAGAGGGGACCCAGGAGUCCGGGGCCAGGCCUACCAGUGCCCCCUUGAUUCUACGAACAGAGGAGGGGACCCAGGAGUCUGGGGCCCAGCCACCUGAGGACCUGAUGGAGCUGAAGNCGGGGCCAGGCCUGCCAGCGCCCCCUUGGUUCUGCGAGCAGAGGAGGGGACCCAGGAGUCUGGGGCCCAGCCACCUGAGGACCUGAUGGAGCUGAAGCGGAAAGUGGGGGCCAUCCUGGCUGGGCACCCCGGGGGCAUGUCCCUCUUCCAGUUCCGUGCCGCGUACAGCGCCGCCCACCAGCACCCGCUGCCCCUGGGCCGCACGGCCUCCACCAAGCAGCGGCUGGCACAGAUGCCCGACGUGGUGAGGAUGCAGGGCUGCGGGGUGCAGAUGCUGCUGCUGCCAGUGGACCCCGACAAACCCUCCGGGGCAGAGCCUGGUCUCGCCCUGUGGAUCCCACAAGAAGCUGCUGCCCUGGUUGGAGACUCCGACGAUCCAGCUGAGCCCCCACCAGCACCUGCUGUUCCUGACCCAGCUGGGGACCCCGACACCCCAACUGAGCCCCCUUCCACCCUGGCCGAGAUCCCUCUAGUCCUCACAGCUCCCGCCCUGACUGGGGACCCCAACACCCCAGCUGAGCCCCCUUUCUUCCCUGCAGCUCCCGCCCCAGCUGGGGACCCCGACACCCUAAUUGAGCCCUCUCCCACCCUGGGCGAGAUCCCUCUAGUCCUCACAGCUCCCGCCCCGGCUGGAUACCCCGACACCCCAGCUGAGCCACCUCCUGUCCCUGCAGCUCCCAACCUGACUGGGGACCCUGACACCCCAGCUGAGCCCUCUCCCACUCUGCCCGAGAUCCUUCCAGUCCUCACAGCUCCUAACCCAGCUGGGGACCCCAGAGUCCCAGUCAAGCCCCCUCCCACCUUCAUGGCUCCGAGAUGGGGGCCGAGCCCCCAGGCCCUGCAGUGCCCAGAGGCCGCCGGACCUGAAGCCAACUGGGAGUUACCUGCCUUGGUGCCCAGCGCCCCUGUGGUUCUCCCGGCAUCAGGGCCGGGCAGCAGCUCCUGGUUCUGGCUUGGGGCAGAGUCCCCCCCGGCCCCGGCUGAUCCCGGUGCUGCUGCUUGCCCAGUCGUGUACCCUCCCCCCCAGGAGGUCACCCCAGCCCCCUCUGCAGGCCCAGAGCCGCCCUCCCUGUGCCCAGCGGCACCGGGGCCACCCCAGGCCCGGCUCAGGCUGGUCCAGUUGGUGCCUCCCUUCCAAGACCAUGCCUGGGCUGGGGAUGCCCCUCGGGCACAGCCGGUCCCUAAAGCCCUGGAUCCGAAUCAGGGCACAUCAGCAGCCGUGGGAUCCCCUGUGGGCCCGAUCCCUGCAGCUCCAUCCAUGGGCCAGGUCGUCUCCCCUGCUAAGCAGCUCCCAGGGGUGGCCCCGGCUCCCCUCCCUCCUCCAGAUGCCAGUGGCUUUGUGACCCCCGAGCGGGGCUGGCCAGACGCUGGGCGCCCUGGCUCAGGGGGAGAUAUCGGCUCUUCUGUUGACCCCUCGCUGCGCUGCCAUCCGGCCCAGCCAGUCCACUCUGCAGGGAGGACCCAGCCGGGCCCGCAGGCCGGGAUCCCCUCUGCCCCACCGGCCCACUCGUCACAACGCCACACUGACACCUGCAUUCUCCUAUAGCCACCGCUGGCAACUCGGGCUGGUGGCUCUGGGUGGAGCAGGUCGGCUUGUGGCCAACUCAGCACAGCGGGGCUUUGCUGAGCUCUGCAGACGAGGUUGGGAAACGAACUCCUGUGAUAUCUCCAGCAGGGCGUACUGGGGCAUUUCACCCCCCCACCCCAGGCCCCCUGAGCAUUGGGGCUUUUCUCCCCACCAGGACUUGAUCUCUAUCUAGUGGCCUUGAAAACGUUGGCUUACAACUUUAAAGAAGUGGCCACUGACUAUUUUGGGGGGGGGAGGUGGCUUAAUUUGAGGACUCCCAACGCCAGAGCUGCCCUGAGACCCCCCCCCUUCCCCCACGCCGAAUCGUGAGUGCUCGGUGGUUCUGAAAACCAGUUGUGGCUUUUCAACCGAACGUUGCCCCAAACUGGUGGCCUCUUGCUGAAAUCAGUGGCAAGCCACCAACGUCUCAGGGAAAGCGCUUUGCGCCCCAUGUGCAGCAUUGACAUUUUAGCCAUUAAAUUUUCUAACAAACGUCAG